GGGGUUGACUGGAUUUGACGGCGAGACGAAAUGGUACGUAAGCACGCGGAGCGACGGCUGUAGGCUCCAUAAUCCAUUCGGUCGAAAAAUUAAUUGGCGAAAAUAAGUACGCUCUCGCUGCUUAAUCGAAGCAUAGUAGAUUGUUAGCUUAAUUCUCCUGCAAGGCGGGAGAACGAGACAUCGCUCAAGGGAUGUUGUUCCGAAUCUUCUUGGCAAAGCGGUGCAGGCAAAUCGGAAAUAGCUGUCAUAGGCCUCGAUGUGACAGUGAAAUUUAGGGGAUAAGGCAUCAGUUGGUGGUCCAGGUCUUGCUGCUGCUCGAAAAUCAAAGGCUGGAAUAAGCGUGUAGAAAGCGUAUGGUUUCCUUGUGCGGACGAGGGUUCGACUCCCUCCAGCUCCACAU
This 400-nucleotide transfer-messenger RNA is filed under the name Bacteroidaceae. Its description in RNAcentral is "Prevotella sp017410365 Standard tmRNA". It matches the Rfam family "transfer-messenger RNA". From Rfam's summary of the family: Bacterial tmRNA, also known as 10Sa RNA or SsrA, is named for its dual tRNA and mRNA-like properties. Its role is to liberate the mRNA from a stalled ribosome. To accomplish this part of the tmRNA is used as a reading frame that ends in a translation stop signal. RNAcentral also lists the same sequence under 1 other name. The record is from RNAcentral. Lineage: Bacteria; Pseudomonadati; Bacteroidota; Bacteroidia; Bacteroidales.